RNAcentral lists this ribosomal RNA (490 nucleotides) under uncultured bacterium. Its description in RNAcentral is "partial 16S ribosomal RNA". It matches the Rfam family "Bacterial small subunit ribosomal RNA", at positions 30 to 507 of the family's 1533-position model. The record is from RNAcentral.
AUUGAACGCUGGCGGCAGGCCUAACACAUGCAAGUCGAACGGUAACAGGGAUCAGCUUGCUGAUUCGCUGACGAGUGGCGGACGGGUGAGUAAUGUCUGGGAAACUGUCUGAUGGAGGGGGAUAACUACUGGAAACGGUAGCUAAUACCGCAUAACGUCGCAAGACCAAAGAGGGGGACCUUCGGGCCUCUUGCCAUCGGAUGUGCCCAGAUGGGAUUAGCUAGUAGGUGGGGUAACGGCUCACCUAGGCGACGAUCCCUAGCUGGUCUGAGAGGAUGACCAGCCACACGGGAACUGAGACACGGUCCAGACUCCUACGGGAGGCAGCAGUGGGGAAUAUUGCACAAUGGGCGCAAGCCUGAUGCAGCCAUGCCGCGUGUAUGAAGAAGGCCUUCGGGUUGUAAAGUACUUUCAGCGGGGAGGAAGGGAGUAAAGUUAAUACCUUUGCUCAUUGACGUUACCCGCAGAAGAAGCACCGGCUAACUCCGUG